This 30927-nucleotide long non-coding RNA is filed under the name Malus domestica (apple). Lineage: Eukaryota; Viridiplantae; Streptophyta; Magnoliopsida; Rosales; Rosaceae. The record is from RNAcentral.
UUUUUUUUUUUUUACUGUUAUGUUGAUUUUUCUUUACAAUAGGGCCCAUGUUUUAGUGUAAUAUAUAAAUUGAAAUUUUUUAGUGUGAUUUAAUACUACUACAUUUUUUUUUGUUAAAGAAUACCACAUGUUACCACCUACUAGAAACUUGUUUAAGGAUUCUGCUUCUCUAGGAACCAAAAUGCUCAUAAAGACUCGUUUAAAAGUAUUUUUAAAAUAAUUAACAGCUUUUUUUAUGAAAUGUUUUUGCAACCAAUUUUUAGUAAAAAUGCAAGUGAAUCUUAUUGGAAAAACAUUUAAACUACUUCAUGAAAGAAGCACAUAACUGGUUUUUUGCAUAAAGCACUUCAAAUGCUUUUGGAACCCAAAAGAAUAUUUUUUCUAAAAGUGUUUUCAGUCAUUUACAAAGUACUUUCCAACGUGUCAUAAGUGUUCUUUCUAAAAGCGCCUUUACGUUUAAAUUUUUCAUCAGAAGUAAAGUUAGUACUCUAAGCUACACUAAGGGAAGGAGAAUGGGUUGAACAGGAGAGGCGUUAGGUUGAACAAGAAGGUCCUCCUGAAGAAGCACCUAGCUUCUGAAGACAUUUUUAUGACUCUUAUGAUCUCUCAAAAUUUUCUACCUAACAUAAUCAAAAAUGUUUUUUUUUUAAAUCUCCGAUGAUUUUGAGUUGGAUACUCAAAUACUUAACAUAGUAUAGUCACAUUAAGUGAUCCUAGCUAAACCAUUAGAUUUCAAUCUAAUCACUGACGUCGUCCAAGAAAAAAAUUGAAAUUCCAAAAGUUUAACUUACAUAAGAUUAAGUGUCACCCAUCAUUUCCUCUAUUCAUGCUGAAUAUUAGAAAAGAGAAUCAAAUUCAUAUGUAUUGUAUACUAUGUUGGCAUGUUUACUAGUUAUUAAUAAGAACAAAAUAAGGAGUUGGAUUGCAAUUACGAAUCACUCACAAGUUCAAUGAGCAUGGAAGGAUAAAAAAAAUAAGCAUAGCCUACCCAAAAUUAGGAAUUCAAUUCUUGAUUUGGAUUGACUAAGUGGAUUCUUUGGAGAGACGUAGCAUUCUAUUUUUAUGGAGAACCAAUUCAUUAUGAAACGACCCAGACAUAAUGAUCCCUAUAAUCAUGGCUCAUACAUAGGUCAUGAUUAUCGAUAUAACGAGUCAUUCCUAAACAAGAUUAUUAAUUGGUGCUCAUUAUCACGUCUCUCAUAUAGUCAACAAUUGUUGGUUAAAUGAGCAGGAUAACGUGAGUUCAAACCAACCAUUUAAGGAGCGUCAUGUGUGCCCUAAUAAAUCACCUUCGAGCCCAUGUUUGUCUUUAUAUAAAGGUAUGCUUAUACAAUGAAGGAUGUCCUUUAGCUAAUAAACUCAUAACUUAGUAUUCAUUUUCCUACAAUAAGUAUGACUUAAACAUCAAAGAGCUUUUGGCUCACACCACACCGGUGUACAUGUGGCAAGGUCUCACCUGUACCUUUUCAUUCUUGGUUGCAAAGAUAUCACAGUAAUUUUAAGUUUGUGUGGAAUUCGUUCCCUAUACUUUUAAGAAAACUCUCUUUGUCGACUAAAGAGGGUGUCUUUAACACUUUUAAUCAGUUUAAAUAUAACUUUCAUAUAUAAUAAUUUUGAUUUACCUUCUUCCUCUCUCCAUCCUGACUUUCCUCUUCAUAUCUCUGUCUACUUUGUACAGCAACUAACUUACCCUUUACUCUAGUUAUCUUAUGAUACAAACUAUAAUGUCCUAUUCCAGGAUCCUUGUAAGAAUGUAAUUCUUUUGUAGUCAAGAAAGUAAAAUUCUGUAUUGGUAAAAGAAAAAGGAAAAAAAGAAGAAAAGAGAAUUCUGUUGACCAGGAAAAGACGAAGAAGUUAUGUUUCGUGUGUAUGCACGUGUUCUUUAAACUAGCACUAUAAAAUACUUGUAGUUGUAGAUAGCACACCCAAAAUUAACAUUAAAAUGAGAAACGUGGGGUUUCAUGGGUUUCUAAAAGUAGCCUAAAUCGAUGCAAAAAUAUUUGUUGUGUGCUUCCAUUAUGAUCGCUUCCUUUUGUGCCUUUUUAAACGAAACAAAAGUUGUAUCGUGCUUCGAAAUAUAUAUAGACGCUCUUAUUAGUUUUAACUUUUAAAUUUUGAUUUUUGUAUUUUUAAACAAAAAUUUAAUAACCAAAACACCUUAAAGAUGAGGUAUCCCAAAGUACCACAGUAUCCCCUGAACGAUAUACUCUCUUCCAUAUGAAAUCAACUAUGAACCUACAUGUGAGGAGUACGAAAAUAUAAGGUAUUUACGUUUUCAAUAUUUGUUCAAAAUAUACUACUACAUAUCGAAUAGAAUUUAUAAGGCAUUAUUUUGAGAAAUAAACUGAGAAUAUGUUUAUCAUCACUUAUUUCUUAUAGUUUGAUCCAAGCAAUUGAGGAUUGUGUGUUCUUAUUUGCUUUGCAUGUAUGUGAUGGAGUAGCGAACUUUAGUUGCCUCUUUUGUCAGUCAUUUUAAAGAACCUCUUCAUUCGAAGUUCGUUGGUUCUAGCUACUUUAUAAAAUUUUAGAAAGUUAUGCACGUUUGUUCAUUCAAUGUAUGAACCCUAAACCACAAAUUACAAUAUAUAUCUUCUCCCAUCUAAAUAACCAAAGUUUCGUAAAUUAUACCACACGAAUAUAUGAUAUAGUAGAAGCUAGCUAUUGGGUCCACUUAGUGUCAUAUUUCUAAUGUAAUUUGGCUAGUGACUAACACAGAAAUCAGUCCUAAUAGGAAAUGGAUUUAAUUGGUAACAGCUCAAGGGCAAUAUGUAUCCAAAUGAGACCAUACAGCGGACGAGAGACCUUCUUUAGAGUGAAACAGCUGGAUCAUGCUAAGCAUCCAAUUAUCUUGAUAAUAAAAUAUAAUUAAGCGAUGUCUCAACCCCUUAUUUAAUAUGUGAUAAUUUUCAAGGUUUACUAAUAGCGUCGCCAUAAUCGUAGGUUUAAAUAAUCAGCGCUGCCAUGAAUAUCUUCUCUGAAUUUUUGUCAUGACAAUAUGAUACUGAUGCGGCGUACGGAUAUACGAUCUCCGCGUUCACUCGAGGUUUCGCAUGUUUGACCGUGGACGUGACACUACAUAAGUUAUAGAAUACAGGAUCACGAACAGUUUUAUAGAUUUUAGAGAAAAUCUCGAUUUUCAAUUGAGUAAUAUAAUCAUGAUAUAACUCUAAAGUCGUGUAUAUAAUCUUGAGAAAACUCUAGAAGCAAAUGAAAACAAAACGGGAAAAUACCAAAAUACCAAAAACAUUCUUAAAACUUAAGCGUUGUUUUUAACCCUUUAAUUCGUCAAAUAAAGUAUCAUGAGUCCAAAUGGAAUACAACCGUAAAACACUAUUCACAGAGCAGUCCAAAAUUUGCCAUUUGAAUCGGAAAAGGAUCUGCUCUUUUUUCUAGGAAUUCCGUAAUCGUUCAUGGUAUAUCGUACGGUCAGAAAUUAUUUAAAUUUAAAAUUUAAAAUUAAAUAUAAAUAAUACUUAAUGAAAACUGAUUAUACAAUAUACGAUGAUAACUUACACGAUCAGGAAACUCUCUAAAUCUUUAGUCAAAGAAUCCGUUAAAUGAUCUCUUGUCCCUCUUUUAGUCCCUUGUCAGGACGUAAAGUAAUAAAAUCAUCAUUUUCUUUCUAGUUUUCCUGCCUUCAAUCUUCCAGUUCCCAAGGUUAUUAUGACUGCAUGUGGAAGUCAGAUGGUUUGCACUUUGGGAAUUGGAUCAUCUCCUAAGCUUCGAGAAAUUUUUAGUUAUGACCGAAAUACGAAUGGUACAUCACAUAUUUUUAUGCAAGUGAUGAAAAUUUUUAAUUUUUAAGUUAUUAACGAGAAAUUUUUAGUUGUGAAGGGAAAACGAAUGGUACACCACGUGUUUUUAUAUAAGUGGUAGAAAAUUUUAAUUUUUAAGUUACUAACCUUUUAACACACAUAUCCCACAAUUUAUAUAAAGACACGUGAUGUACCACCUCAUGUGACGAUCACACUAAAAAAUCUCUCGUUAUUAACCUUUUAACACGCAUAACCCAUAAUUUAUAUAAGGACACCUGGUAUACCCCCUCGUGUGACGGUCACACUGAAAAAUCUCUCCUGAGCUUGGGCUCAGGAUCAUUCUAACCGACACACAAGGACGGUUGCAUUUUGAUCUAACGGCAACAAACAGGGGAGCUCUCUAAAAGUUAUAAUAAUUGUAGCCGUUUGAUCAAAAUUCAAUGACCCUUGUGUAUCGGUCAAGAGGAUCCUAAGCCCAAGCUCAGGAGAGGAUCCAAUUCUUGCACUUUGGAUUACAUGCUCAAAAAUGUUCUAAAAUUUCUAUUUUUUUUUAAUACAACGAUGUGCUCUAAAGGAGGCGAUAUUUUACUGUACAAUAAGAGGAGAUUGCACUAAGUUACAUUGUAUAUCAAUCACUAAUUACGUAUUGAAUACAACACAAAUAUACUAUGGCUUCGCCAUCUAGUGAAUUAAAUAAGAGAACGUUCAUUUAUAUAUAAAGAUGAAUAUCACUAGAUUGUAUAAAUCUUCCAUCUUAAACACAUCUAAUUUACCAACUAAGAAAGUGCAAUUAGAUUUUAUUCAAUUCUGAAUUAUUCUAAUUCAUAAAAAUGAGCAUUCAAAUUUAAGUGAGAUGGACCAACACACUACCUUAAUCGAUUAGCCUCACCACAUUUGCUCACUACCUUAAUCGAUUAGUCUAACUCACAAUUACUUAAAAUUAAGCAAAAUUCAAUUGCCGUACUUUUUGUGCUUAAGAAAGACUUAAACAUUUACUUGUUGAAACCGACAAGGAUUAAUCUAUUAACUAAAGCCAAUAAAAUAAAAACAACAACUAUAAAAAGUUAGGGUUUCAAUCACAAAAUCUACAAUCGUUGAUGAAUCUUUUGAUUCACUGAAUGCAGAACAAGAGCCUUACUGAUAAAAAAAAUAAAACAAAAUAAAACAAAAUAAGAGAAAGAGCCUUUUGUUGUCCUUAGAUUUAUGUUGGUCAUCGAGCCUUUAGCUUGUCUACCACCGACAACUUUUGUUUGUAUGAGUAACGAUUGGGAUAUGAAUUAGAAUAUUAGUUAUUCUUUUCUUUUUAUAUUAGUAAAUCAUCAAUUCCACAAAAAAAUGAUAUAUAGUUGUUGUGGGCUAAGAAAAGGGGGAGGACCCGCGAUAGGAGAGAAAAUAGACAGAGAGUGGGAAUUAUGUGUUGUGAUUUCACCUCUUUAUGUCUUUAUUUAUAGUAAUAUGGAAGAAAGAAUCUUGUUCUCCAAGUAAUACAAGUACAAUAAAGAAUGAUCUCAUACAAUCCUAAACAUAAUCUACUAAGAUUUACACAAUUGCACUUCUAAUGGAAUAUUAACUGCAACACUCCUCCUUGUUUGUGUAAAUACUCAAGUAGAUGGUGCAUUAGAUUUUUAGCAAUGAUGUAAAAAUAGUUAAUGAAGUCUCAAACACGAAAUGCACAUGGAAAGUAAGUCUCAAAAAACCUAGCUAUGUUGAAAAUCAAGGCGAGACAAAACCUAUAGGCUAGUAGAAAAGUGAGUUAAUGACUUGGUGAAGAAAUCAAUAAGGUUGCCUUGGGAAUGACUUGGUGAAGAAAUCAAUAAGGUUGUCUUGGGAUCGGAUAUGCUUGACUUCAAUUUUCUGAUGCACUUGUUGCUUAUGUGAAUAGAAAAACUUUGGUGCCAUAUACUUGCUAUUCUCUACUUUCAUGAACCUUUCUUGAUUUGGAUGACACAAGCAACAUUAUCUUCAUAAACCGUUGUAGGAAAAUUAACUACGGAAGAAGGUCCGCAAAUGCUCUUAAUAUCCUCACUAACAACACUCAACCAUAAGCAUUCAUGCAUAACUUCAUGAAAGGUGAGAUCUCGGCAUGAUUCAAAAAAAGUCGCAACUAAGAGUCUGCUUGAUUGACCUCCAAGAUAUUGCGAUAUCUCCAACAGUAAGGACAUAACCUAUGAUACGCCAUCUUGAAAUGAUUCAUUUUACAGUUGUGAGAAAAAUGAUUUUAAAGGGCAUUUUAGUCAUUUUAAAUUUUAUUUUGGUGUUUGAGGCGGAUUUAGGUAGAACGCAUGGGCAACAACCGUUGCGAAUCACAGUGGAAAUGAAGAAGUUAUAGAGUGCUCGCAUUUUGAUCUUUUGUCAAUUACUAUAAAUAAAAACUUGACUCCAGAUUAAAAAAAAGAAGCAUAAAGUAGUUUCCAGAAAUGGAAACCCAACCGAAACCAAUAACUCGCAACCCACUGAAUCUACCAACCCGCACAACUUCAAGUUUUCUAUGCGAAUUACGGCCAAUUGUGGCAAAAAAAAUUUGAUGCCACCACCACCAGUUUGAAGCUCUUACUUCCCUUUACAAAACUCACCCAAGAACCACCUGCCGUACAUGGCAGUGCGAGGCCUCCAAAUCCAACGUGUCCGACUGCCUUUUUCUAUUUUUUGGCUAAUUGGCGAAAUGCCGACCGACGUCAUCAUUUGGGUCUUAUAACUCAUCAUCUCAGAAGUAGAUCCGACCAACCUCGACUUUUUUGGACCUUUGAAACCAACAGGAUCCUCUCCGGAUCUUUUUGGUGAGGCUCAUAGAGAUCUGUGAAUCGUGUUUAUUCAUCAUAUAUCGUGCUGGUCAAUUUUUGUCAAGUAUUGUUUAUGUUUAUUUUUAAAUAAAAAUAUGUAAAAUAAUUUUUGACCAUAUAAUAUACGAUGAACGAACACUAUUUACGGAUCCCUAGGAUUCUCACAAAGAGAAUCCGAACUCCCAUUGAAAAGAAGAAGGUGACUAAAGUGAUCCACGUCAAGAGAUCUUAUUAUAUGUCAUAAUUAAACCAUUAAACGGAUUAAGUUAAUUAAAUUAGAAAGGUCCAUAAUCAAUGCGGAAAACAGCUGCAAAACAAUGGAGUGCUUGGAUGUUAUAUAUGAUUAAAUACUAAAAACGACAUUAUUUUACUUUUGACUCAAGUUUAAAAGCAAUAUUGGCAAGUUUUCUUCAUGUGUUUUUCCUUUGUUUUUGGGUCGCACGAAUUGCAAGUUUUCACAUUGCAAAUUUGCGAUGUCUCUUGACUUUUGGGGGACAAAGGUCGGUGGUUUAGUCAGAUUCUACUCUGACUCCAGUCAAAAACAAAUUGAUUGAGACAUACAUAAUCAUUAGAAAAUUAGGAGUAGAAAGGACUAAGCAAGGAAGGAUCUUGCGGGGCAAUAUACUCUGACGGCAUACAUAUUAAUAUACAAUGCUAUUUAGACCUACGAAUUUAUUUAUUAUAAAGCAUUUCAAUAAUAUACUUGUUUGUACCAUUAAUCCCGAAACUAUUAAGUACUGGUCAACAUUAUAAUCUCAAGGACCCACAAGAGUCUUCCUCCAACUAGGAGGCCAAUCACAAUGCGACACAUGUCAACAUCUAAGGCCAAUCAUAACGCGACACGUGUCGACAUCAGAGGCCAAUCACAGCACGACACGUGUCAAUGUCAGAAUGAAACUAGAAACUCUCUUCUAUAAAUAGAUAUCAUUCUCUCGCAAUAUUUCCUAAUGUCAUUUGUACUAAAUCAUUCAUUUGUACUCACUAAAGGAGAGCUUGAACCUAUAUACUUGUGUAAAUCCUUCACAAUUAAUGAGAACCCCUCUACUCCGUGGACGUAGCCAAUCUGGGUGAACCACGUACAUCUUGUGUUUGCUUCCCUGUCCCUAUCCAUUUACAUACUUAUCAACACUAAUGACCGGAGCAAUCUAGCAAAUGUCACAAACUUAAUACUUUCUGUUGUAACAAAGUCCUCACUGAUUUGUGCAUCAACAAUACUCAAUUAAAAUAACAAAAUUAUAUUAUAAAAGGCAAAAUUAUAUUAUAGUAUGUUGCCUACUGAAUUGUCUUAUAAUAAUAGUUUGAAAUGACUCUAAUAGAUUAGGCAAACUAAGAAGGCAAUAUUAUAUGUUAUACUUUGAUCCAAGUCUAAAAUUUAAAGUUGCUAUUGGAUUUAGUCUUGUUCCAUAUUUUUAUACUUUAAUUAAAUUUCUUGAUUUAUGCAUCUUUACUCAAAAUUUGAAUUUGAAUAUUUAAAUUUGAAAAUAGAACCACUUUUAUAAAAAGUAUAUACGAAAGUAAAUAAAACUUAAUAUACUUAUUAUCCAUAAAAAUAGUCGAAGAUAUUUUAUCUUUUAUACAUUUAUAAAUCCACACACACAAAAUAUAUAUAUAUAUAUAUAUAUAUAUAUAUACACACAUAUAUAUUUUAUGAUGAUAUAUAGCACCUACAACAUACAAUAUUCAAGUAAAAGACAUUCCUAUAAAUAAGGGAUAACAUUUACAAUUUAAUAAAAUAAAAUAUAAACUGAUGUAGAUAAUCAAUGAGUAGACCUAGUCCAACAAACUGGACUAAAUUCAAUAAUGACUCAAAAAAUUGGAUUUACAUCACGUCUACUCUUUAUUUCGUGUGUAACAUCAAUUUUUACUUUUUGGUUUUGUCAUCUUCCUCUACAUCGAAUAUUUGAUUAUCAAAGGAGGGUGUGGCGCCUGAAUCGCCUACUCAUGAUGGUGUAGGCAAUGUGCCUAUUUUUGGAGGGUAUGCAUAAUUUGCAUACUCAAUUGCCUCUAUUAUUGGAGCUAGUUUUUACUUACGUGUCUGAUUAAAACAGGUAUUCCAACUCAAUUGUCUACAUUAGAGAUGUUUUCUAAUACUUAACACGUGAACACCCUCCCCAAUUCCAUCUUGAAUCCUUCUCCUUUUCCUUUAUUUUUAAUAUAUUAAUAUAUUUUUGUUUAAUCUACAUGACAUCACAAAAUUGGACAUGGGAAUCCGCAUGUGGGCUGCAUCAUAAGAUGAACAAACUUUUUUUAAGAAAUUAAUUGAACGGCAUGGACCAAUAAUGCACAUUUUGUCAAAUUUAGGGACAUAAAUUUAAAAAACUAUAGUUCAUGGAUGAAUUCUAAUUUCGAGAUAAAUCAGCUAAUGGUGUUAAUUUUAUAAUUAAGAUUAACAUGUUGAAUUGGCCUCAUAAGAAGGUUUAGGUUUCAAGGCCCAUUGGGCUUGGACCUAGGGCUUGUGAUUAAAGUUACGGUUGUUUACUGCAUGCAAAACAAGCCUAGUUAGGCUGAAGUGUUAUUUAGCACCAAAUGACAAAUUAAUUUCUCAAUGAGACAUAUUUAGCUUAGGCUAAAAUAAUUCAGUGCUCUUCAAACCAAUUGAUAAUAUAGAGAGUAGCCCAACUCUUUAUAAGUCUUUGAAUGAUUUGGUCUCUCAUCGAUGUGGGAUUUUGUCUUAACAUCCUCACACCAGGAUUUUGACUGCGUACUUGUUGAAGAAUGAGUCGGUGACUCAUAGGCAGUGGCUUGGUUAAGGAACCCACCAGAGUCGUAGCAAAAACAUGUCUUCAUAUGGUAAUUGUCACUGCUUAUGGACCCAAACUUGAGUGAUCUAUCUAUGAACAGAACAACAUCUAAUUAUUUAAUUUAUGCGAUAUAGACAUAUUAUUCGUAAAUGGUAAAAUGUGUAUAUUUUCCCAUGAAUAUAAUACUUAAUACUCAUUUAUUUCAUAUAUUUGGAUGGAUAAACAGUCACUGAUUUGACUGUUUUUUUUUUUUUAAGGAUAAUUUUCAAAUGAAAAAUUAAGAAUUGAACAAUUUUGGUCAUAAAUUUAGACAAUAAAAUUACGUUAUUCAUAAAUGGUAGAAUAUAUAGGUGCAUUCCCGUUGGGAUGCAAGUAACACACUUUUAAUUAGUUUUCUUAUAUAUGCAAGUAUUGUCCGAUUCAUAUUAAAGUUAUUUUGGAUUUGUUUGUUGUUUUCAAACAUCAGCCAUGCUGAUGAUAAACUCCUUAUUCCUCUCAUCUUCUUCGUCUCCUCGUCUCCUUCUUAACCACACCAAAUCUCCUUCCAUUCCAAUCACCACUUCCAACCUCCCCAUAUCCAAUCCAGCAACUGCUAUCAGCACACCACUGAGAUGGACCCCGCAGACCCUUCAGUUUCGGGCCUCAUCGUCAUCAGCCAAUCCGACAGUCGAGGUUGCAUCACCGCCGGGAACUGAUGGCGAUGAGUCAGCUGAUGUGGUGGAAUCUGGAGCGGACGUUGUGAGGAAGUUCUACGCGGGAGUCAACCGCCAAGAUUUGGGUUCAGUGGAGGGGCUCAUAGCAGAGAAAUGUGUGUACGAGGACCUUGUUUUUCCUCGUCCUUUCAUUGGUCGCAAGGUACUCUUAUCUCUUAUCCACAUCUCAGCUCUUUUAUUUAGUAUGUGCUUUGAUAUUUGACUGUAAUAUAAUAAUUUUAAACUUAAAAAUAAACAGAAAAAGUAGUCCAAAUUGACAGAAUUAUAAUAAAUAUUUAGAAAUAAAAAUAAUAAUAUAACAAGAAGAAAGAAGAAUUUGUGGAAUUUACGUGUGUAGUCAAACUACGAUUUAAGGAUUUUAAAAACUUUUUAAAAUAACAAUAUAGAUUUGGCAGACUUUGACGGAUUCUUUUUGAACUUUCGAAGAUUUAUGUAGACUUUUAUUACUGACCUUUGAGGAUUUACGUGGACGUUCUUUUAUUUUUUUUUUAAUCAAUCUUCUAGUAACAAAAUUUCCAAAAAAUUUAAGCAUUCAAAAAAGAAAAUCAUGUUAACCUAAGGUCCGAAAUCACUAACUGAAUCUGGAGGGUUGUUCCUGCAAAACUUAAAACUGAUAUUUGUGUUUCCGAACAUUAUUGGUAUUAAUCCUUCCAGCCCGUCUAGAAAAAUGUUUGCAUUUAUAAAUUUCAAGUAAGUUCCGAAUUUGUAUUUUCAAAUAUGAUGGAGGAGGUCUUAAGUUCGAUUUCAAGCGUUUUUUUUAUAGAAAAAUGUUUAAGCAGCUCUGAAUUAUUGUGUAUUUCAUUCUCAAGAUCAAGCAUCAGCUUCAACAAUGCGCAGGAUAUACUUCAAUUCUUCAAAAAGUUCAAUGAUUCUGUCGGCAAAGACCUUAAGUUUGUUAUUGACGACUUAUCCGCUGAGGACUCCACGGCAGUUGGGGUAACAUGGCAUUUAGGUAUGUUAAUGGAAAUUAGUUACACUACGUCCUUUCUCCUCUGUGAUAUAUAUGUUUAUCCGAUCCUCACUGAAAUAGUACGUAUUUUCGAUCAGAAUGGAAUGGGAAGCCUUUUCCCUUCAGCAAAGGAUGUAGCUUUUAUAAGUUGGAGGUCAUCGAUGGCAAGAGACAAAUAAUGUAAGGAUACUUCAAAAGAACAGAUAGCAGUCGUAGCAUGCACCAGAUUAUAGUACUGCAUGCUCAUUCAAUUUCGUUCCCGAAGAUGAAGAAACAUCUUGUGUACUUGUGUAUCUCUGUUGAGUGCGUAUAGUUUGUUGGGAGACUAAUUUUGUCUUUGAUAAACAGCUACGGGCGAGAUAGUGUCGAACCUGCGAUCAAGCCUGGAGAAACUGUGUUGGUAAGUGCUUAACCUCCGUACUUUCACGCUCUCUCAUUUUUUUUGUUUUGUUUCAGGGCAUUCCAUAUACUAUUUCGAAACAAACAUAAUCUAAAACAGACGUUUAGGUUGGGGCCUGAUAUCUGAUGGUUCCAGUCUAAAUUCUAUAGUGCAACCUUCCUGCCAUUGGCAUUGGAUGAACAUGUAGAAUAUGAAUAUACGUUCAAAUUUGUCCAAUUUCUUGAAUUUCUGUUCUGUUUUAACUGCUUUUCAACCUUACGGAUACGAAAACUAGGUGUGCAGAAAUUAUAAGAUUAUAAUUCUUUGAAGAACUAGGUCAGGUUUCACUUCAAAUCCCAUAUGUUUUACAGAUUGCCAUCAGAGGUGUGGCAUGGCUUCUACGACAAUUCCCUCAGCUGAUCGACCAGAUUUAGAGUUAUUUUCUCUACUCUCUUUUUACCUCAAGGAGAGGAUAUGUACACUUUUUUACUUUGAACUUGCAUGAGCAAGCAAAUAUGAUGUAUAGGCACGCAUAUUCGUAUGUAGAAAAUGUGAACUGAAUGGAGUAUUCAUCUCGAAAUUCUCGAAAAACAAAGUGAUAUUGGGGAGGGGGAAUCAAACUCGUGUCAUUGAAUGCAGAGUGUAAGUCCUCUUAGCUAAUUGAGCUACAUGUCUAGUGAUUUUGUUGACUUUUAACUUAAAGGGCCAAUGUUGGAUUGUUGUGCUUUUUUAAUUAAAAAACUGUUUCUGUUGUGCUUUAAAAAUAAUUAGCUAUAAAAAAAAAGUAGUUGGACGUUUGAUAAACUGUAUUUUUAAAAGUAUUUUUUGAGUAUUAAAAGAUUCAUGUCCACUGUGCUGACUCCUCAAUAUCGACGUACGGCAUUAUAGCUAAUACCAUCCAGAUGCUAUACACUGUACUAUGGUAACCCAGCAUGAGCAAUGCCCCAUCAACAAGUAUAGGUGACAAGAAUUUGUGCUCAAUCUAAUCCUGUCCGAAUACAACAAUAUGAGCAGCAGCACCAGAAGCAAGUCGAAGAAAAUUUGGACCCAAAGGAACAUCACUGAUGUAGGAAUUUGAAUCUUCCUUUGAUGGGAGGUGUUCCAGUUGACGAAUGCAGCAAUACAAUCUCAAUGCCAUCAUCUUGGGGUGACCAGUCUAAGCUAGACCUGUAAACGGGUCGGAUUUAUUGAAUAUGGGUUGGGUUCAACUUGACUUGUUAAGUUAACAAGUUAUCUGAACCCAAUCCGUAUAGAAACCCAAAGUACAGAGAGAUAAUUUCUAUCUUAAUAUUCCUCUUCUCAUUUACUUUUCAUAACAUACUUUUACAUUUACAUUUCGAUAACUAUAUAUAGUUAAGGCUAUGUACCAAAAUAUCUAUGACAGCCUGUAAACAUAACCACCUAACCAAACUAUACAGUUGUAAUAAUACAGUUAUAACAAGAAUGAUUUUCUAACUACAAUUAUAUGAACUGUUAUGACUUGGCAUCUUUAUCUUUACACCCCCUCAAGCUGAGCUUGGAAAGACUAGGAGUUCCAAGAGAGAGCUUGGAUUGAAGGAAGAGAAACCGAUGUUUAGACAGAGAUUUGGUGUGAAUAUUGGCGAUCUGAUCCUGACUACAAACAUACUGAAUUUUAAUCAGAUUAGCAAGAACCAGCUCCCUGAUAUAGUGAUAAUCGAUCUCCACGUGUUUAGUUCGGGCAUGAAAAACAGGGUUGGAUGCAGUGAAGUGAAAUGGCAGAGAUGUUGUCGCACCAGAUGGUAGGUUGGAGCGUGAGCGUGGAGGGGGAAACCAAAAUCUCUGAAAACCUUGCAGAUCCAGGUAAUUUCCGCAGCAGUAUGAGCAAGAGACCGAUAUUCAGCCUCAGUAGAAGAACGAGCUACUGUAGACUGCUUUUUAGCACUCCAGCUGACUAAAUUGGAGCCAAGAUACACACAAAAUCCACUCGUGGAUCGUCUAUCAAAUGGGCAGCCAGCCCAGUCUGCAUCAGAAUAAGCUGAUAGAGUAAGAGGAGGACCCUUAAGAAACCAGAUGCCAUGAGAAGAUGUACCUUUGAGAAAACGCAAAAUUCUCUUGGCUGCUUGCAGAUGUAAGUCAGUAGGAGUAUGCAUAAAUUGGCAUACUUGGUUUACUGCAAAGGAGAUAUCAGGCCGAGUCCAAGUGAGAUACUGAAGGGCUCCCACAAUGGAUCGAUACUCGGUUGGAUUUGCCAAAGGUGUACCACUGUGAUCCAGUUUGACAGUACCAAGAGGUGUCGAACAAGGCUUAGCACCCUCCAUUUUUGUCUUGUGCAAAAGGUCCAACAAAAUAUUCCCUUGAUGUAAAAAUAAUCCUGCUGUGGUGCGUUGGACCUCAAGUCCCAAGAAGUAAUGUAAAGGACCUAAGUCUUUGACAGGAAACAAAGAACUUAGCUUCUGAAUGAACAAACGGCAGGCUGAAGAAUCCGGACCACUGACCAGUAUAUCGUCGUCUACAUAGACAAGUACAACCACAAGAACUGGAGCCUUGAGAACAAAGAGAGAUGCAUCAGAGGAGGACUGAGUAAAGCCUAGAGACUGAAGAGACUGAAAUAGCUUAUCAAACCAUGCCCGUGGGGCCUGUUUGAGUCCAUACAGGGACUUUUUCAACUUACACACAUGAUUCGGAUAGUUUGGAUCACUGAAGCCAGGUGGCUGAUGCAUGAAGACUUCUUCCUUUAAAUCACCAUGAAGAAAAGCAUUGCUAAUAUCGAGUUGAUGAAGAAACCAAUUAAACUGGACAGCAAAGGUUAACAGUAUGCGAAUGGUGACAGGCUUUGCUACAGGACUGAAUGUCUCUUGAUAGUCUAGACCCUCUUGUUGGUGAAAUCCCUUGGCAACAAGCCGGGCUUUAUACCUGUUAACAGUUCCAUCAGGCUUCUUUUUGAUUCGAAAUACCCAUUUACAGCCAACAAUAUUCUGACUGGAAGAAGGAGGAACCAAGAUCCAUGUACCAGUGGAUUGGAGGGCAUUAAAUUCGGCCUGCAUUGCAGUUCGCCACUCAGCAAACUUAGAAGCUUGAUUGUAAGUGGUGGGGAUAUAAUCAAUAGAGGAUGAGAGGGGAUGUUUGGUAGCAUUAUAGGCCCGAGGCUUAAAAAUACCAUUUUUCGAUCGAGUGACCAUUGGAUGUGUGUUAUGACUUGGCAAAGGUGGAGGAAGUGAUGGAGAUUGAAUUGGGACUGGGGAGACAGGAGCUGUAGGAGAGGAAGCAGGGGUAAUAGGAUUGAUAGGAGAAGAGCAUGUUGGAGCAGUGGUUAGGGUAGACAUAGGAAAAUGGAGAUCAAAGGUAGGAGAGCUAGGAAGGGUAGAAGGAGAGAAUGAAGAUGUCUUGGUAGUGAAGGGAAAUGAGCUCUCAUCAAAUUGAACAUGCCGAGAGAUGUAAACUCGGGCAGUAGCUAUGUCUAAGCACCUAUAACCCUUAUGUUGUAAGCUGUACCCAAGAAAAACACACUGCUUGCUUUUGCCAUCAAGUUUAGAGUGAACAUAAGGUUUUAGCCAGGGGAAGCAACUACACCCAAAGACACGGAGUCGAGUGUAGUCAGGAAGUGUGUGAAAUAGUAACUCCCAUGGAGAUUUGAGAAGACCAGAAAUGGGUAACCUGUUGAUCAAGUAAAUGGCAGUGGAGAAGGCUUCAACCCAAUAAACUGAAGGGACUUGAGAAGCUACUAACAGUGUUCGGGCUGUUUCUACAAGAUGGCGAUGCUUGCGUUCUACACAUCCAUUCUGUUCAGGUGUAUGUGGGCAGCUGUAUUGAUGAAAAAUGCCAUGCAAAUUGAGAUAAGACUGAAAAGAAGCACUAGUGAACUCACCCCCUGAAUCAGAACGUAUAGUCUUUAUUUGAUUGCCAACAGACUUUUCCACAUAGUUCUUGAAAUUUACAAAGGUAGAAAAACACCUCAGAUUUUCUUCGUAAUGGAAAGAACCAGCUAUAUCUGGUGUAAUCAUCUACUAACAACAGAUAAUACUGAAAACCACUCACAGAAGGCACAGGGGCAGGUCCCCAUACAUCACAAUGAAUUAAAGCUAAACUAUGAGGAGUUGAUGACUUAGCAGGAGAAAAGGACAGUUUAUGAUUCUUAGCAAUGGCACAAUCUGAGCAGAAGAAGUCAACUGAGGAUUUACCAUGCAGUGCAAGACGAUUACUAGAGAUUACUUUCCGAAAAAUGGUAGAGGAGGGAUGACCCAGUCGACUGUGCCAAAUCUUUACUGGAGCUUUAAUACUGACGAAUGCUGAUGAAGAAACAGAAGAGAUACCACUGGAAGGAAAGCUUUGCAAAGGAUAGGAGCCAUCUCUAACGGGUCCCCGCAAAAGCAUCUUCCCCGUAGAACGAUCCUUAACAGAGGAUCCAUCAGAGUCAAGGGUUAAUGAACAUGAAUUGUCAUUAACAAAUUGAAAAGCAGACAAUAAAUUGUGCUUCAUUUGAGGAACAUGAAGUACAUUGUUCAAUUUAAAGGAAUGAUGAGGAGCAUGUAACAAAGAGGAACCAGUAUGAGUGAUGGAAAGACCUUUACCAUCACCAAUGUAGACUUUAUCUUCACCAGUAUAAGGAGAUGGAGACGAGAUGUUGGAGAUGUCAUUUGUUAUGUGAGAAGUUGCUCCAGAAUCAAUGAGCCAGGAAGGAGAAGAGGACUUGGAUUGAUAGUGCGCACACAUUGCAGCAAGCUUUGCUGGAGGGAUUUUACCAGAAAUAUCUGGAUUCAUGCGAUCAAAGCAAUCGAUUGCCUCAUGACUUGGAUUCCCACAGAUCUGGCAGGGAUUACGAGCACCCGACGAAGAUGAACCACGAGAGGAGGAGUUAUGACCACGAUUGAAUCCAGAAGUGAAGCCAUGAGUGUAGUUGCCCCGAUGAUUGCCUCUGUGUCCUCGAUUAUUAGAAAAUCGAUUAUUCCGGCCACGAUAGGAGUUAUAUCGAGAAGAGGUAUGAAGAGGAGGCUGUUGAGCAGCAAAAGCCUGAGGUGGUGUAGGAAGAAGAGGCGGUAAAGCGUGAACCGAGAGAGCAUGAAACGGUUCAGUAGGUGCAGAAGAGGCAAGUUGCUUCCGUCGAUUCAUGGAAAGCUCCUUGGUGAGUAAUAAUCCAUGCAGCUCAUCAAGGGAUGUGGAAGAGAGACGAAGCAUGAUGGAGUCGAUGAAUGAUUCGAACUCAUCAGGAAGACCAGCCAGGGUAGCAGCAAUGAGAUCUCGAUCUGAAAUCGAAGUGCCUGCAGCAGUGAGGGAAUCUGAAAUUUCUUUGAUCUGCUGCAGAUAAUCCGCCAUUGAUUGAGAAUUCUUCUGAAUGCACUGAAGGCGAGAACGAAGCUGAUGAAUGUGCGCAUCAGAGACACCACCGAAGCGCUGCUCAAGCUUAAGCCACAGAUCUCUGGAAGACGAAACGCCGACAGUGAAGGGAAUGACUUCUUCAGAGAGUGUUGAAUUGAACCAGAUGAGAAGAUUCUGAUCUUUCUCAUACCAACUCUCAAAAGCAGGAUUGAUCGAACGAUCUGGUAGACAUGGCGUCGGACAGGGCUCAGUGCCAUCAAUGAGUCCGAGAAGCUUGUACCGGCGAAGAAUAGGGGCAAAGAGAGCACACCAUGGUAGGUAAUUCGAACGCUUGAGCUUGAUCGGCACCAUGCUGCCGAUGUUCUGAAUCGUGAGAGAAGCGUACGAAUUUGACAAAUUAGGGUUUGAAGAGGAGGAAUUGGGAUUCGGAAUCUGAGAAGAGGAACCGGUGGGCGACGCCAUCAGAGAACACAAUGUAAGAUCCAAGAUGCAAGAUCGAAAAACAACACUAGUAAUAUCCACAGAUCGAAGAUGAGAUGAUUGAAUGGAGACGAGAGCACGGCGGAAGAGAGGAGGAUCGAAGAGAGGAGGAUCGAAGAGAGCCGUGAGGCGGUGGCGAUUGAUACCAUAUAGAAACCCAAAGUACAGAGAGAUAAUUUCUAUCUUAAUAUUCCUCUUCUCAUUUACUUUUCAUAACAUACUUUUACAUUUACAUUUCGAUAACUAUAUAUAGUUAAGGCUAUGUACCAAAAUAUCUAUGACAGCCUGUAAACAUAACCACCUAACCAAACUAUACAGUUGUAAUAAUACAGUUAUAACAAGAAUGAUUUUCUAACUACAAUUAUAUGAACUGUUAUGACUUGGCAUCUUUAUCUUUAAUCCGUUAAGCUAACGGGUCAUCCGUUUCACCUGUUAACAAUUAUUAUUAUUAUUUUUUUUCAUAAAGUUUAUAUUUUGUUAUUAAGAUUUUAUUGAAAUUACUAAAACAUCCUCAACUAACUCGUAUUAACGAGUGCUAACGAGUCUAACGGGUUAACCCAAAGUGAUCCGUUAUUUAACGAGUUGUUAACGAAUUCAUCCGUUAGCGACCCGACCCGUUAAACAUCCACCCAAAUACUAAUAUUAACGGGUCGGGUCAGGUUAACAGGUCGGGUUCAAAAUGCCAUGUCUAGGCCAGGCAGAUGGUUGGAAUAGCAGGGGUUGCUAUGGUGUAUUUGGGGUUGUGGUCAGUGACGACGUUGCUUGUGUUGUGGUUCCUUCUGUUGCUGUAACCGGCGAUGACAUGACGGGAUGGGUAAAGCGGGACUUCAGGCAACACACAAGAAACAAUGGCAUUUUCCGUAGGUGAGCUACCGGUCCCAAGCCCGGAUAAAGGAGGAGAGGAGGACGUCAGGUAAUUCGACAGCCGGCACUUUUAUCUUACGUCGAAUCCUUAGGAUACGAUCAUACCAACUCACAUGCACCGGAUCCCAUCUGAAGUCCGAAGUUAAAGGAGUCUGGGCACGAGUAGUACUAGGAUGGAUGAUCCCCUGGAAAGUCUUCGUGUUGCAUCUCCCCACAGUUGAUCCCAUUUAAUGAAAAAAGGCUUUGUUGUGUUGUGUUGUUGUGAGCUAUAUCAAUAGCUAACAGCUAAAAACACACUGCGCAGCUGUUCACCUCAGGUUUGUUCUUGACAGGGUACGCAGUUUUUCUUUUCCAUGAGCAAACUGAAAGAAAAAAAAAUGGCAACCUUGGUCUUUUAUCCUCAACAUAUAGGAAAAUCAAUAAAUAUCGAAUAUAUUUAUGGAUUCACAACAUAAGUUUUGCCAUAACUCAUUCUACAUAUCUCGUUAACCAUGAAAAAAUGGCCAAAGUCUCCACUUGUCAUAUAAUACGUCCAUAACAAAAAAAGGAGGGCCGCGGGAGCACCGACUGCUUCCCUCGGUAUCUCCGCCUCCACUUCCGUCUUCUUCUUCUCUCUCUGCUUCGCUUCCUCUCCCUCUCCCUCCCCGCCGAUAUUCCUGAAUCUGUCAUUGCGAGACGCCGUCGUUGCAACAAUGGCGGCGAUCUCGAAUCUUGCGGGGUGCAGUCACAGCGGGAACUCAGUCAUUUUCGGAGAGAGGAGGCUACAGUUCCGGUCAACUCCUGGAUUGAAAACUCGGAUCUCUUGGCCCUCUAAGGUAUCAUACAUUUUCAUAAGGAUUCGAAGUAAUCAUGGAGUGCCGGCUGUCGAUUACCUGACGCCCUCCCCUCCUCCUUUAUCCGGCUUGGGACCGGCAAUCUAAGGUAUCAUAUGACAUAAUUUUUACUUCAAUUGCUUUCAUAUUUUCCAUUUCAUCUCAAUUAUAUAAAUUUAUGCAGAGAAAUGUUGUUGUUAGAGUGACCAUUUGAACAAUGCUACUUUUUCAGACCAUCAAUUCGAAUAAUUGAUUGGAUGAAAUUCCAAGUGUUGCACUUUAUUUUUUUUUUAUUUUAUUUAUUUAUUCAAAUUUGUUAUAUUGUAUGUGGGUUUAAUCAAGGAAUUUGGAUUACAUUCAAGAAAACUAUAAUUUAUACAUGAUAUUUUUACUAAUUCCAAUGUGGGCCUGCUGUGUUUUUAAGUUUCAAAUUUGUAGUGGUUUAAUACUUCUCUGUUUCGGAGACCAAAAUUCGGUUUGAUUUUUUUUUUUUCACGUCCUCAUUCCUUCUUCUUGAUAUAGAAUCAGUUCGCAGUUGGUCACUUGGGCAAGUCAGAUAAGAAUUCUGGUGUUCGUACGUGAGAAGAAUGCACGAAGUGGAGAUUUUCCAGGCCUUCUGACAUCCUGGUAUCAAAAACUACUUUUUCUACACAGUGACUUAAAUCAAAUUGUCAAUGUGUCUUCUUUGGAACGUAGAUGAUGUUAGUCUGAAGUUUCAGGCUACUUAAGUAACAUUUUUUUGGUUUUGUUUUUAUUUGGCAGGCAUUUGAUCUUUGUUCAAGGAGCACUUGUAAGUCUUUGUCUUUAGUCUCCUGAUAAGCUGAUAUGUAUUGAGUUAAUUGAGAACUUGAUGCAAUUGUUGUUCAGAUUCUAACGCUUCUCGUUCAUAUAAAAGUACCAUACUUUUGUUCUGCCCCACUACCUAUAUUAAAAUUUAACAAACUAAAUUGAGGAACAAUCUCAAAUGCGCUAGUCAGUGAAGAUGAGAAAUCAUGAGGAUUUGCCACAUAGUUUACUUUUAUUGUUUGAGUUUGCAUAAUCACAUAUCUGAAUAGUCACAGUGUGCACGUAAAAUGGAGUCCGGCUGUGGUUGUGGACAGGUCGUUACCUGAGCCUCCAACAGCUGUUUUUCUGCAUGGAAUUCUAGGUAGCAGGAAGAACUAGGGUACGUUUGUUCUUUUCCCUUUCUAUUGUUCUCCAGUUAAGAGUCCCUUUUUGUACUGUUCUGUGGCAUGUAGGAGUUUUCUCAUGUAUUUCUUUUCAAUUCAUAUCUUUGCAGCAUUAGCAACAAAGUGGUGGUAGCGGAUUUUCUAUUGUUUGCCACGCAUAAAUAGUCUGUGGUUUUAUCCAUAAUAUCUGAUAUUGCAGGAACCUUCACCAGGAGAUUGGCACAAGAAUUUCCGACCUGGCAGGUAUUGUCCUCUGCUUUUGUACUUUAACUUAUCAUGAAUGAAACGUGUAUUUAUGUGGUAAAGCUCAUAACAUUUAAUUUUCUUAUAGAAUUUCCGACAUGGCAGGUAUUGUCUAGGCUUAUUUAUUUGUCUGCAGUAUUGUGACAAAUUGAUUAUACUAAGUGAUACCACAAACACAAGCACCACCAAUACAGAUCUGCCACAAAGACACGCAACAGACCUAUACCGAGAGGCACACACAAAAUCAUCGCUAACAAGCGAGAUCACAUUACUCAGCCCUGGCUGAGCAGUAGUCCACCCAAAAUCCUAAGCUCUAAAACGGUGAUUCUGCACCUCAAAUUAUUAAGUCCUAGACCAUGCUAAACGCUACACUUCUAACUCUCAAUAACCGCUUGUAACCAUAGGUAGUUUGCAAAAGUUUUUAAAGCAAUACUUUAGUUGUCUCAAGGGGAUAGAAGAAAAAUGGAAACGAUAAAAACUUGGGCAGCACUUAGAAAUUGAUCUCUCACUUGAGGUUCUUUUAAAUAAUAAUUUUCUGUAGUUUUGUGACUGAUCUAACUAACCAUAUGUACUACUUCGCCUGUUGUCACUAAUUAUGCUUGUAAUUUUUGUGUUUUUUUGGGUGUGUAUUCGGAUAUAUUGAAUAAGGAAUUUUUAUAUUUGGUCAUGGUGACAAUCUUAUGUUAUUCUUCUAUUUAUUGGCAAAGUUUCUGUUAGUGGACCUGCCGUGUCAUGGUGAUUCAGCAUCAAGUAAGAAAAGUGGACCCCAUAGUGUUUCUUCCACUGCUCUUGAUGUCCUAAAACUGGUACGUGUUUCUUGCGCACUUGCUCUCAUUAUUUUUGAAGGACAAGUUUCUCCAUUGUUAUAUAUAAACCUAUUUUUCCAAGAAAAGUUUCAGUUAUUGUUCUGAAUUAGAUGAAUCUCACAGCCUGCAUCUGUGUUUCUUAUGCCUAUAUUUUUCUUUCUUACUUGCACAUAGAACCGAGCGCAAUGGCGUUCUAGGAUUCAUAUAGCCGACCCCACUUAGUGGGAAAAGGCUUUGUUGUUGUUGAACUUGCACAGUUCUUUGUAACUUCAUCAUUAUUUUCAUGAACAGUGUUGUAUGCACAGCAUUUGAACACUCCCAGAUGUUUGUAUAUUUUUGUCUAGUAUCCGACAACUUAGAUUAACACCUCGGGUUAUAGUCGGACACAGUUUUGGAGGGAAAGGUAUCUUAGGUUAUUUUGGCAUGUUGUAUACCUUUAUUGGAGAGUGCUAGUACACAGUACAUCUGCACCAUCUUAAAAUGGAUUGAUGCUUACUAUGUUUCUGGUUUUCAUGUAGUUGCCUUGAGCAUGGUGGAUCAAGCUGCAAAACCUCUUGCACGACCAGUCAGAGUAAGUAAUGGGAAUAUAUUGAAUAUAUAUCCUGGAAAGUUCGAGGGUCUCUCGACAUUAUCCUUAUUUUCGUCUCACUAGUUGUUUGUCUAGGUUUGGGUUCUAGAUGAGACGCCUGGAAUAGUUCAUCCUGGAAGGGAUGGGGAGGACCAUCCAGAAGAAUUGAUUUCUGUUCAAGUACACUGCCAAACGAGGUGAAUACAUGUUCAAUAGUUGUUUCCUUUUUUUUUUUUUUGAAGAAGUUGGGGCGCCUUUAGGUAUUGUAGUCCUUUUAUUAUUUAAUUAUUUGUCUUUAGUAUGUCUUUCUUGCCCCUUUUUAUCAUCAUUUGUCUCUCCAUUUACAACUCUUAAGGUAAAUUCAUGUAAUAGAACUUGAUAUCAGAUCAUUGUUAAUCAGUUUAUUACAAGCUUUUUGGGUCCUACUGAAUAGAGAUACAUGUACACCACUACAGUGACCAAAACCUGAGAGGUUUCAUUCUUACUGUGUUUGUUGUAAAGACUUCUACCAAUUUGUCUUUCAAUAAAAUGUUCAUUCUACCAGUUUUUCUUAAAGGCAGGUUUCCUCAAAGCAGGAUGUUGUGAAUGCUCUAGUUAAAAAAGGAUUCUCCAAAGAUGUCGCACAGGUACUUCAAACUGUGAGACAUGCUUGAAUGGAAUAAUUUGUAGUUUGGGCUUUGAAAUUUUUUAUGUAUGGAUCAGUUUGGUAUUUCUUAUUUUCGACAUUAAUACUUAGCCUUAUUCAUAUUUGGUCAUCACAUUUUGUUUCUUUAUUGAUAGCACCUAUCUAACUUUCAAAUUUAACAGUUAUGCAUAUUUGCUCGUUAUGUAAGCUGACUUUGUGGGCAAAAAGUGGUUCCAAUCCCAUCUUCUGCUACUACUCUGUCUCAUUAAUUUCACUAUAUCAUUUUCAUGUUUGAUACUCUUGUGUUCUUUUUUGUCUUGCAGUGCAAUUAAUUUCACUUGGUGCUGGCAAGUGCCUUCGCCCAUGAGCGAUAGGUCUCAGGUUCGAGACUUGGGAGCAGCCUCUCCAUAAAUGGGGGUAAGGCUAGCCGACAUUCACCUCUCCCAGACCCUGCGUAAAGCGGGAGCCUUGUGCACUGGGUACGACCUUUUUUUUUUUAUAUGCUGUUUCAUGUGCAGUGGGUGGUUACUAAUCUUCGACCAACCAAUUCUCUUGGUUCAUCACCAUCAACCUUUUCAUGGGUGUUUGAUCUGAAGGGAAUCACUGAAAUGUAUAAAUCUUAUGAAGAAACAAAUUUAUGGUAAUUAGUUCAUAUCCUUAUCUUGUUGGAUUAGUUUUAUAUGUGACACAGGAGUCAAUACCUAGUGGUUAAACUUAAAUGUCCUUUUAAUCAACCGAAAUACUGCCCAUUUGUCUGAGCUGGGGGUUUUCUUUCAUGAAUUGUAUCUUCUUUUAAAUUUUGUUCAUUUUUUAUUCUGGAUGUAAAUCAAACUACAUACCCUUCAUAUAUUGAAACAAAAAGGACAUUUUCAUUUUGAAAUUAUGUCUGCUUCAACUUUUUCCUAAUAUCUCGAAUGUCAAAUUUGCAAUUGGCUCUUAUUGGAUUGCAUUAUUGUAGGAAAAUUGUUGAAGAUGUGCCUCGGGGUGUCCAUGUGAACUUUUUGAAAGCAGAAAGGAGCUUGCACGGAUGGGCUUUAGGAAUCUCCAGAGAAUUCAUGCGGCUGAGGAAGCAGGUGGAGUGGAAAUGCAUGUCCUUGAGGAUGCAGGCCACUGGGUAUGUUGCUUUACAGUUUAGAAUGAAGCACACAAUAUGGAACACUUGUGUUUGUAUAUGUGCACCCAUAUAUAUAUCAUUCACAAGAUAUAUUAGAAUCUAGAGGUUCCGAUAGAUCAGUAUUGGCUCCUGGACUCCUGGGUGAGCAUUUUGGGCAUGGGAAUCAUAAGUAAUGUAUUUUUCUUUUGAGCGGUUAUUUGGGUUAGCAGUUUUAGGAUUUAUAAUUUUGUGCAAAAUUAGUGUCGUUGUUCAGUAGUGACACUUUCUUUGCUGCAAUGCUACUGAUUAGUAUCAUAGGAACUGCUUGUAGUCAUUUUGGACAAGGGAAUUCCUAGUUUUGGGGAAGUAGCGUCUGUCAUACAGUCAUGCACAAGUGAUUCUUUGGCAUUGUUAAUGCAGUCUAGAUUGCAUAAGAUGCUGCUUAAAAUAUCAAAUUGUUCGACGCAAUUUGUUUGAAACUUGCAUGAAUGGGAUAAUAUCAACUGUACCGUAUUUGCGAAAUAUGCAGCGUUGCUCAUUUUUUGUCCUUUCAUUUUCAGGUCCAUGCUGAUAAUCCGGACGGGCUGUUUAGGAUCCUUUCCUCUUCUUUCUAUUGAGCCAAAAACCUGGGGGAGCUUUAGCAUGCUCUUGAUCAGUUCGGACAUACCAGCAUUCUACUGAGAAAUCACCAGACUGUUCCAAUGUUUUAGUCCUUGGAAGAAACAGGUCAAGUUCUCUAUCAAAUGAUUAUAUACAUCCGUUUAUAUCAUAGUGAUUUUUGUAUCAUCGUUCCUCGUUCUUUUCGUUUCUUUAGGUGGCCUCCGUCCCCCUCGUCGCGGUUGCGGCUAUAACUUUAAACGUGUGUAAAUCACUAUAGAGAAGAUGUAUAUGAUAGUCUAUCUACGUUUUAAUGAUUCAGGCGUUUGGCUCAGAUUAGUUUUAUUUUUACAAUUUAUGAGAACACAUACUUGUUUGUAUGUAUAAAUUGUUCAAAAAGAAAAGAAAAAGGUAAAAUGCAAACUUUGGAAUCAUUUGAUUUGAAAAUUUAAGAGCGGUUUGAUAACCAUUUAAUCGAUGAAAGCAUUCAAAAUCAAAUUUUAUUUUAAGUUGUGUACACUUUUAAGAUUUUAUUUUCUUUCAUUUUUCUUUUUUUCGUCCUUUCUCGGUGCCAUUCUUCAUCUCCCCCUUCCUCAUAUCUCAAGCACGAAAAGUAAAAAUCAACGAACAAAGAUGGAAUGAUUAUCGCUGGAAUGUACCUAAGAGGAUAGUUGGACCAACAAAUUGGUCAAGGAUUAAAAUGGCAAAUGUGGAAACCAGGAACUCUAACAAGAACCAAACAAAUUUUGAAGUUCAACGUUGUGUUUCACAAAACUGGAUAACUCAAGUGUACCAAAACAACGUACCCUAUAUGUUGUUUUAACUGAGGACUUUCAACUGAAAUGAUCUUUAAUUUCAAUUCCUAAUUGCUGAAAUUAUCAAAAAUUAAAUAUCGACGAUAUAAUGAUCAAAUAUCAAUAAAAUAAAAAUAACAUACUAAACCGUGAUUAUUUCAUCAAUUGAGAUUUGAAAAUUAAUCAUAUAUCGACAACAUACUAAAAAGUCAUUUCACCAUAAUUUCCAACAAGUAAAUCUUCGUUAUUAAAUUGUUAAAUAAAAAUUUAACAAUCGAAAAUUUCGAUGCAUAAGAUUUUCUCGAAACAUACUAGAAAAUAUGUUGAUUAGGCUAACCCAUUAACUUUAUGAAAAUUAAUCAUAUAUUAACAACAUACCAAAAAGUCAUUUCACCAGAAUUUCUAGCGAAAUUUCGAUGUAUAAAAUUUUCUUCAAACAUACUAGAAAAUAUGUUGAUUAGGCCAACCCAUUAACUCUUUGAAUCCCCAGAAGCCACACGGAAGUUUUCAUUGCAAUUUCGAGUCAAAAAUCUACUCUUUGUAUUAAAUGCAAAGUAUUUCAUUGAAUGCAGAAUUUAAAUUCAUAUGGUUUGAUUUUAGCAAUUUUCAAAAAAGAGCAAAACCUUUAGCAAUUUCGAAAAAAGAGCAAGACCUUUAGCAGUAUCAAUCAAUGCCCAAAAAUAGUUGCAUGCAUAAACACUAAAAAGGUUAUUUUCGUCCGUUUAUGGAGAGAUUCAGCUCGACUUGUUCAAACAUUUUUCCUCUUGACAUGAUAUCAUGGACCCAGUCAAAAUUGAGUAAGCAUAACAAAAUCCAACCUUCAUCCCUAGAAUUUCUUUUCAACCCCCUUGCUCUUUCUUUCUCUCCAUUCUGCAACUCGAUUUUUCUUUCUCAUUCUCCAUUUUCUUCCAAACAUAGAAUUUGCCAACCUGAUUUUCUUUCACGUUCAACAUUCACCGUCCCAGUUGCAAACUUGAAUUUUUUGAAUUGUACAAUAUUGUUUUUUUCAUUUUGGACCGUGGAAUAUUAUUUCUUGUAAUGCUUUGAUGGGAAGUGUUAAUAGCUACUAGCAGUUCUUGUAAUGAUUAUGCGUUCUAUCUGAAGGUGUUAAUUUUUUAUCAUGUUAAUUGAACUCUUGGAAAUUACUACUAAGAAUCUUAUUGCCAAUUCAAGCUUUAUGUUAUUUUUUGUGUAAUCAUGUUUGUGUAAGGGUGCAAGCAUCUUCCAAAGCCUAUUUAUAUUGGUAGCUGUACUUAGAUUGAACAACGCAUUAUGAACUAAUCAAUUGUUGAGGAAAAAUGGUUAAUUUUGAGACAUUGGAUUUAAGAAGCACUAAUUGUUUUGGUUAGUUAAAAUUAUUUUUCGUAAAGAAAUCACAAUUCAAAUGAGAAAGGGAAAGAAAAUACAUAUUUGAUUGGUUUAUAUUUCCAUAUCAAUAUAUAUAUAUAUAUAUAUAUAUAUGUUUAUGUCUUUUUCAGAUUGUGCACUAAAAAAAGAAUUUAUGUCAUAGGAGUCAAAAAAGAAAUCCGAACAAAUCCAUAAAAGAAAUCAUUACAAAUUCGUAGAAAUCUAUAAUAGAAAUCCAUAAUAAUUUGUCAAAAUCCAUAUGGAAUUGUAGAAUCUAUUAAAAUCUUUUGAAAUUUGUCACUUAAAAAAGUUCAUCAAAAUCUUCUGAAAUCCAAAUUAACCACACACCCUUGGUGUAUCGGAUCGUGUUUUCGGUACAUUGAAAAAUAUUUCUUACUAGUAUUACGCAACCAAAAGCAAAUAACAUGUUGUGCAGGUGACAACUUCAAUAAAACUACAUUUUAAGGAUAACAUGUGGAUUUAAAACAUGGUUUAUAAAUUUGAUAUAUAUAGUAGAGAAGCAUCAAUUUGGUCAAAGGGAUUCACACAAUAUUGGAGAGAUCAAAUUAGGAAGGAGUGUGUUUGUAGGAGAGGGAAACCAGCUACGAGCAAAACAUAUUUGAAUUUCAACGUUGUGCGUUUCAAUAUUGGAGAGAUCACAUGCAAACAAGAUUGUGACUUUUGGGUAAUUUUUUGGUUCCACUUGCCGACCAAACCUUAUCUUUUCUUGUUUUGAACUGGCAAAGCAUUUUCCGUGGACUGGGUCCUUUCGUUAAAUUUAAAAAACCGACGUGGUAAACUGGUUGAGGACUCGUGACAUCAUGGCUUAGGUAAUAUACAAUGAAUGCCGACCUCGCGCGUCAACCCCUCGUCAAACCAAAUUCUCAAAGACUCCAAGAUAUUUUCUGACGUGACUCCCUCUCAUACUUAAACUACAUGUAAUGCUACAUUUAACAUAUGUUUGCACGAUUAUUUGUAUUAUUUCUUUAAUAAGAGUAAUAUUAGGUAGAUUAAAUUUAUUGAUUAAUUUUGUUGAUUAAUUUUGCAAGUAAAAUGAUGUGUAGAAAAAAAAUACAUUAAUCAAUAUUUAAAGAAUAGUCCUAUCUCUAUUAUAAAGAUAGUACAAAUGUAUAGUGAAAGUAAUAUUUUUAUUAAACUCCCCCAAAGUUGAUUACUCAUUCCCGACGUGUAUUUCUAAUCAUAAAUCUCAGUUAUGAGAGAUUUUUUAGUAUGCUUGGUGGUACACUAUGUGCUACUAUACAAGUGGUGAGAUACUUGUAUUUGUAUUAAAAAAAAUUAACAACUUAAAAAUAAAACUUCCUACCACUUAUAUAAUAACACGUAGUGUACCGCUUGUGUUCAGAACAAAUGAAAUUUCUCUCAAUACUCCGCUUUCAUGCUCACCUUAAUUAACCACGUGUGUUUUUCUGUAGGAAAUAAAAUACCCUCUAUAUCCUCUAUGUUUUAGACUUUAGUAGCCCAAUUGACAUAACACGUGUUUAUCUUUACUGUUUUAGUCUAAUAAUGAACAGUUACGAGUCGUUAAUAAAUAGUUUAAUUAUUUAUAAACAAUUAAAAUUACUUAUGAUAUCAAGUAGGUUAUCAUCACGGGAAACCCAACAAUUAUACGUGUUUCACGUCAUUCAAUUGUGUUAUCUGUGUAUUAAAUUUGAAAAUUUAUCAUACAUGCUGAAAAUAUUAAGAAUAUAAAUAUAACAUGAUAAAUGAUAAAAAAUAGUUAAGUGAACUUUCUCCAAUAUUAAUUUUAUGAUUAAAUCUCAAUUUUAUUGAUGAUAUCAAAACCUAACAAUGUAUUAUUAUGUAUUACGAAUCCAUUCAAUAUAUAUCCCUAUCAUUACACUGAAUCCAAUUGACAUAUAUCCUUAUCUUGCUUCGGUGUCUCUCACCAUCCAUACCGCUUCUAGUUUCUGGUAUUUACUUUGACCUUAGAAUAUUUUGACCUUCCCCUCCCUCGGACAUGAUAUGCUACAGCUACAAAAUUAAUUCAUUAUUGCACCUUUGACUAUCGUAGUUGUUCAACCUAUAUAAACACUUCCUCCCAUUUCCCUUUUUCAUUCACAGAUUCAAUCGGAACGUUUCCCACAUCUUCCUUACUAGCUACUUACGCAGACAAGUCAGAACUCAGAAGAGAAAGUUCAUAUUUGUUAUAUAUAUAGUUUUACACAUAUAUAUAUCAUCAUCAUCAUGAGUUACAGUUCGGAAGAAAGCGGGAGUCCUCCAUGCAGCACAUCAAACAGAAAACUCAAGGGGGUGCGCCAACGAAAAUGGGGCAAGUGGGUGUCCGAAAUCCGAGUUCCGGGGACCCGAGACCGGCUUUGGUUAGGCACCUUCUCCACCGCAGAGGCGGCAGCGGUGGCUCGAGACGUUGGGUAUUAUUGCUUGCGUCGACCUUCCACGUUGGAAGGCCUUAACUUCCCGUUGAGGUUACCGUCUUGUGUGAGGGAUGAUAUGUCGCCCAGGUCGGUGCAGAAGGCAGCUUCAGAUGCUGGCAUGGCAGUGGAUGCUCAGCUGAUUGCCAACAAGUCCCCGCCGCCGCAGCCAGCUGGAACUGGAAGCAAUGCGGUUGAGACGACUGAGUUUCGGGAAAAUGGUUAUAUGGGAGAGACUUCGACUUCUACUUCUAUGAGCAGUUGGGGAGGAGGACAUGGGUUUGGCAAUGGCGGUGAUCAUCAGGGGUGCUUGAGCAUUUCCGUUGAAGAUUAUGAUCUCUAAAUCUAAUUAUUAAGUGUCGUCAGUCAAAGUUAUACGGUUUUUUAUUUUUUAUUACAAAUGACAUUCUAUACUAGUUUACUGGACAAAUUUGAAUUCGGAACGCAGUAUGGUGGAAGAGAAAGAUCCUAUCAGAGCAAUCCAUCACUGCUUGUAACUAUGAUUUUGGUCCAUGGAAGUUUUAGCAAUGUUAGCAUAAAGUUAUUAACUAGAACUAUACACAUGUUUGUGGGUAGGAUUUGGUAGAAUAUAUAUGUAGCACUGUUUCACACUCACCGUAAGACUAAGUCUAGCUAUGCCAUAGAAAUGGAAACAGACUGGUUAUGAUUUACAAUACGACUUUGACCUCCUAUAAAAAGUAGUGGAGUUGCAUCUUUUUAAUAUUGAAAGAGACGCAAGCUGAAUUUGAGACCUCGUUAUAAGGAGAGAGAGGAAAACAAAUCUAGACUUUCGCGUGAAUUCACUAAAUUGUUUGAAUGUACAAAUAAUAAACAAAUCAUGAAAAAAGAGGAAAACAAAUCCAGAAUUUCGUAUGAAUUCACUUAACCAACUGAAUUCUUUGAAUGUACAAAUAAUGAACAAGUCAUGUUUCAGAUACUUUGUUGAAUUCAACGAUCCUCUAUGGAAAAAGGCAAGUGUCCUAUGAUGAUUUGGAACCCAAUUAACACUUCAAUAAAUUUUAUGGUGAAUUUCUAAACCACGUUUUAGUGCUGCAAAUAGAGCAUACAUAUUAAAUUCAACAGAAACCCCAGAAAAUGGUGCCAUUUUUUGUGCAACCAGUGACACCAAGGUUCAACUAUUAACGAAAGGCGAUAUACUAAUAUGGAAAUCAUUUAUACUAUUGGUGGUGCCACUGAAACAAUAUAUUAGUUUCAAGAGAGUUUCUCUCCACAAAGUGACAAUAAUUGUUUCUUUCCUCUUUUUGGGUUAAAACUACAAAUGUUUUUCUUUAGAAAUAACUUAAGCAUCAUUCAUAAGAUAGUACAAAGAUGCCCAGAUGAACUAAUCAUCACUCAAAAAUGAAAAUUCUGAAAAAUGUCAUACUUAAUAAGAAGAAGCGCAUGUUUGGAUCGAUGACAUAGCUUCAAGAUUGUUUCUCGAUCUACUGACUUCCUUCAACAUCCCACUUCCAAUUUCGGAGGAUCUGCUGAUUUCCUUCAAGCUUAGAUGUACUUGUUUGCACUGUGUUCCAUUUUAUGUUGGUCUUAUACGGUUUGAUUUACAAUCAUCUCGAUGCAUUUUAUGUAUGUACACAAAAGGGGUAAUUCAGCUGAAGACGUUUUACACUCAUGGAAUCUGUUCUUACAGACUUACAAUCAUGACCCAAGGGAAACCAAAAUUGAAAUUUCAAAGAAUUAGUCAAAUGAAACCAACUUACCCGCUUGUUUUUCGAGUUUGAACUCCGCCAGACUAUGUAACAAAAUCUUGUUCGAAAUACUCAAGGAAGAAAGCAAGUGCCAAAAUUUGAAGAUUUUUUCUUUUGAGCUGAACCAAAACUUCAAAAUUGAAAACAAAACGGCAUCAGUCACCACCAUACAAGUAGGAGUUUCAAGAGAGCCAUCCUUAUAUAUAGGCCGUUCUUUGCUUGUCUGAAAUAGGCAGCUCGUGGAUCCCCAUCAACAUCCACGGUAAUCUGCACGACAUUCAGAGAAAAUAGAAAUUAAGAAUGAUAAAAGCAGGUUUGCUAUAGGGUUCAAAAUCAUUUCAUUAUCACGUGUUUACCUCGUCAAGUCUAAACUUUGAAUGUUAAAUGGUUACGAGGCGAUCUGUUUACUUGUAGGACCAAACUCUGUCAUAAUUGUAAACUAGUAGUUUCCAACUUUCCAUUCAGUUCCUAGUUAUUUGUUACAGUUCGCUAUUUUUCGUUAAAUGGUACUUAGAGGAACUUUCCAACUUUAUUUUAUUCGAGAAUUGCAAGUCUUUACACCCACCAAUCGCCAAUUGCUCCAGUACUUCAUAAAAGUUCGUAGAACUAUUCAUCAAACAAAUGCGCAAUAGAAAACGAAACUUUUCUAUCAAAUUGAUAAACAAAAUGAGCAAGCAGGAGGAGAGGCAGUACCAAAAGCACAACCCAAAGAAUCUCUGGUGCUUCUCUAAGCCAGAAUGCUGAAUUUCAUCACCUGGGUUCAGUCGAGCAUCAUCAUUCCUCAUUAGCUUUUAUCUUCACAUCCCUCCUCAACCCGUAUAGUGAUUUGGAAAACGAAGCAU